CCCGCUCAGAAACUCAAAGGAAUUGACAGGGCCCGCACAAGCGGAGGAGCAUGUGGUUUAAUUCGAUGAUACGCGAGGAACCUUACCUGGGCUCGAACGUAAGAUGACUGUAGGUGAAAGCUUACAUCUCUUCGGAGCAUUUUACGAGGUGCUGCAUGGUUGUCGUCAGCUCGUGCCGUGAGGUGUCGGGUUAAGUCCCAUAACGAGCGCAACCCCUACCUUUAGUUGCCAUCAGGUUAAGCUGGGGACUCUAAAGGAACUGCCUACGCAAGUAGUGAGGAAGGCGGGGAUGACGUCAAAUCAGCACGGCCCUUACGUCCAGGGCUACACACGUGCUACAAUGGCCGAUACAGAGGGCAGCUACCUGGUGACAGGAUGCAAAUCUCCAAAGUCGGUCUCAGUUCGGAUCGGAGUCUGCAACCCGACUCCGUGAAGUUGGAUUCGCUAGUAAUCGCGCAUCAGCCAUGGCGCGGUGAAUACGUUCCCGGGCCUU
RNAcentral lists this ribosomal RNA (493 nucleotides) under uncultured Sphingobacteriales bacterium. RNAcentral describes it as "bacterial SSU rRNA". It matches the Rfam family "Bacterial small subunit ribosomal RNA", at positions 888 to 1382 of the family's 1533-position model. The record is from RNAcentral. Lineage: Bacteria; Pseudomonadati; Bacteroidota; Sphingobacteriia; Sphingobacteriales.